RNAcentral lists this long non-coding RNA (611 nucleotides) under Mytilus galloprovincialis (Mediterranean mussel). The record is from RNAcentral. Lineage: Eukaryota; Metazoa; Mollusca; Bivalvia; Mytilida; Mytilidae.
CAAUCUGGACACACUGGACGUUGCGCACGGUGAUAUUGCGGCACCCUGGCCAAGCUUUACAGUAAAUGGGAAAACUUUAAAAAAGGACAUUUUGUAUAAAUAAAUAAACCUAGUUUUACAGCUAGCUGCAUAUUUCAUUUGUAUGCAAGUUGCAUUAAAUCUCAUUAAACUGAAUAAAACUAAAAGACACAAUAGGUAAAAGUCAGUGACAAUAAAAGGAAAAGAGCAGUCAACAUAGUGUAACAAUUCGACAUAGUAUAUAAAAAUAUAAAUAACUACGUAGGACAAAAGAGUAAUUUAAUAGUCUAACAACCCCUGAUAACAUACAAAGAGAGAACAAAACAUACUAGGAAACAUAUUCAAAAAAUCAUAACACUAUAACUAACUGGUGGGAUGUAUAAAUACCGAGCCGCGUCAAAGAGUAUUCAUCAAAAUACACAUAGAAAGAUCUUUCUAAACAGAGGUGAAGGUAAACCGCAAACAUAUAAUUAAACUCAAAACAUUAAAGAGUAUGGAAAAACCUUGGUCUGACAAGCGAAAAACGUCGAUAAGACGCACAUCAGUAAAUAAAAGUUCAAACCAUAACCAGGAUGGAGUACCACAAACCCCAC